AUACGUAGGCAGCGAGCGUUGUUCGGAGUUACUGGGCGUAAAGGGUGUGUAGGCGGUCUUCCGUGUCUGGUGUGAAAUCUCCCGGCUCAACUGGGAGGGUGCGCCGGAAACUGGGAGGCUUGGAGUGCGGGAUGGGAGAGUGGAAUUCCUGGUGUAGCGGUGAAAUGCGUAGAUAUCAGGAGGAACACCGGUGGUGUAGACGGCUCUCUGGACCGUAACUGACGCUGAGACACGAAAGCGUGGGUAGC
RNAcentral lists this ribosomal RNA (248 nucleotides) under uncultured bacterium. RNAcentral describes it as "partial 16S ribosomal RNA". It matches the Rfam family "Bacterial small subunit ribosomal RNA", at positions 523 to 769 of the family's 1533-position model. The record is from RNAcentral.